Molecule: ribosomal RNA, 253 nt
Filed under: uncultured bacterium
Lineage: Bacteria
Description: partial 16S ribosomal RNA
Rfam family: Bacterial small subunit ribosomal RNA
Source: RNAcentral
UACGGGGGGGGCAAGCGUUGUUCGGAAUUACUGGGCGUAAAGGGCUCGUAGGUGGCCAACUAAGUCAGACGUGAAAUCCCUCGGCUUAACCGGGGAACUGCGUCUGAUACUGGAUGGCUUGAGUUUGGGAGAGGGACGCGAAAUUCCAGGUGUAGCGGUGAAAUGCGUAGAUAUCAGGAAGAACACCGGUGGCGAAAGCGCUCUGCUAGGCCGCAACUGACACUGAGGGACGAAAGCUAGGGGAGCGAAUGGG